GAUGAACGCUGGCGGCGUGCCUAAUACAUGCAAGUCGAGCGAACAGACGAGGAGCUUGCUCCUCUGACGUUAGCGGCGGACGGGUGAGUAACACGUGGAUAACCUACCUAUAAGACUGGGAUAACUUCGGGAAACCGGGGCUAAUACCGGAUAAUAUAUUGAACCGCAUGGUUCAAUAGUGAAAGACGGUUUUGCUGUCACUUAUAGAUGGAUCCGCGCCGCAUUAGCUAGUUGGUAAGGUAACGGCUUACCAAGGCGACGAUGCGUAGCCGACCUGAGAGGGUGAUCGGCCACACUGGAACUGAGACACGGUCCAGACUCCUACGGGAGGCAGCAGUAGGGAAUCUUCCGCAAUGGGCGAAAGCCUGACGGAGCAACGCCGCGUGAGUGAUGAAGGUCUUCGGAUCGUAAAACUCUGUUAUUAGGGAAGAACAAAUGUGUAAGUAACUAUGCACGUCUUGACGGUGCCUAAUCAGAAAGCCACGGCUAACUACGUG
Molecule: ribosomal RNA, 497 nt
Filed under: uncultured bacterium
Lineage: Bacteria
Description: partial 16S ribosomal RNA
Rfam family: Bacterial small subunit ribosomal RNA
Source: RNAcentral